This 440-nucleotide ribosomal RNA is filed under the name uncultured bacterium. RNAcentral's name for it is "partial 16S ribosomal RNA". It matches the Rfam family "Bacterial small subunit ribosomal RNA", at positions 338 to 795 of the family's 1533-position model. The record is from RNAcentral.
CCUACGGGAGGCAGCAGUAGGGAAUAUUGCUCAAUGGGGGAAACCCUGAAGCAGCAACGCCGCGUGGAGGAUGAAGGUUUUCGGAUUGUAAACCCCUUUUGUUAGAGAAGAUAAUGACGGUAUCUAACGAAUAAGCACCGGCUAACUCCGUGCCAGCAGCCGCGGUAAUACGGAGGGUGCAAGCGUUACUCGGAAUCACUGGGCGGAAAGAGCGCGUAGGCGGGAUAGCAAGUCGGGUGUGAAAUCCUAUGGCUUAACCAUAGAACUGCAUUUGAAACUGUUAUUCUAGAGUAUGGGAGAGGGAGGUAGAAUUCUUGGUGUAGGGGUAAAAUCCGUAGAGAUCAAGAGGAAUACUCAUUGCGAAGGCGACCUGCUAGAACAUAACUGACGCUGAUGCGCGAAAGCGUGGGGAGCAAACAGGAUUAGAUACCCUAGUAGUC